Molecule: ribosomal RNA, 468 nt
Filed under: uncultured bacterium
Lineage: Bacteria
Description: partial 16S ribosomal RNA
Rfam family: Bacterial small subunit ribosomal RNA
Source: RNAcentral
GACGAACGCUGGCGGCGUGCUUAACACAUGCAAGUCGAACGGAAAGGCCCUGCUUUUGUGGGGUGCUCGAGUGGCGAACGGGUGAGUAACACGUGAGUAACCUGCCCUUGACUUUGGGAUAACUUCAGGAAACUGGGGCUAAUACCGGAUAGGAGCUCCUGCUGCAUGGUGGGGGUUGGAAAGUUUCGGCGGUUGGGGAUGGACUCGCGGCUUAUCAGCUUGUUGGUGGGGUAGUGGCUUACCAAGGCUUUGACGGGUAGCCGGCCUGAGAGGGUGACCGGCAACUUGGGGAGAGAUUGAGGCCCCAGACGCAUGGGGGGGGAAGAGGGGGGGAAUAUGGCAAAAGGGGGGGACGCUGGAUACAGCAACCCCGGGGGGGGGAGGGGGGCUUGCGGGUGUAAACCCGUUUUCGCCGGGGACAAAGGGGGGGGGAGGGAAAGGGAAAAGAAAACCCGGCCAACCCAGGGC